AAGUCUGGUGCCAGCAGCCGCGGUAAUUCCAGCUCCAAUAGCGUAUAUUAAAGUUGUUGCAGUUAAAAAGCUCGUAGUUGAAUUUCGGGGUUAGUAGGUUGGUCAUGCCUCUGGUAUGUACUGGUCUCACUGAUUCCUCCUUCCUGAUGAACCGUAAUGCCAUUAAUUUGGUGUUUCGGGGAAUUUGGACUGUUACUUUGAAAAAAUUAGAGUGUUUAAAGCAAGCUAACGCUUGAAUACAUUAGCAUGGAAUAAUGAAAUAGGACGUUCGAUCCUAUUUUGUUGGUUUCUAGGAUUGACGUAAUGAUUAAUAGGGAUAGUUGGGGGCAUUAGUAUUCAAUUGUCAGAGGUGAAAUUCUUGGAUUUAUUGAAGACUAACUACUGCGAAAGCAUUUGCCAAGGAUGUUUUCAUUAAUCAAGAACGAAAGUUAGGGGAUCGAAGAUGAUCAGAUACCGUCGUAGUCUUAACCAUAAACUAUGCCGACUAGGGAUCGGAUGAUGUUAAUUUUUUAAUGACUCAUUCGGCGCCUUACGGGAAACCAAAGUGUUUGGGU
RNAcentral lists this ribosomal RNA (554 nucleotides) under Rhizophagus irregularis. RNAcentral's name for it is "SSU rRNA". It matches the Rfam family "Eukaryotic small subunit ribosomal RNA", at positions 557 to 1112 of the family's 1831-position model. Lineage: Eukaryota; Fungi; Glomeromycota; Glomeromycetes; Glomerales; Glomeraceae. The record is from RNAcentral.